RNA transcript from Medicago truncatula (barrel medic), 961 nucleotides. It is a transcript of the gene named protein RNA-directed DNA methylation 3, with no coding region annotated. The transcript is spliced from 7 exons. The record is from RefSeq and is a predicted model, not a curated record. Lineage: Eukaryota; Viridiplantae; Streptophyta; Magnoliopsida; Fabales; Fabaceae.
UUUUUCAGUGAUUCUGCAGGGAGUUCCGACCUCUGAUCCAAAUAAAACAUGACCGAGAAACUGGUAAGGUUUUUCAUGUUCUUGAUGGCAUGCUGCUCAAGGAUGGAUUUUUGUAUAAGAAAGUAUCUCUAGAUUCGUUAAAUUUUUGGGAUGUUGUUCCUACUGAAGAGGAGCUAUUAAAGUUUGGGCCUUCCAAAAAUAGUGAAUCAAAUGAUAUGGAGUGGCUUUCUAAUAUUUAUGGUGACUCAAAGAAAAAACGGGUUAUUAUAGCUGAGAAGGGGGGCGAUGGUAAAGGAGAGGGCUCAUUAGCUUCGGGCGCAGGAAAUGAUUUUGAGUUAUAUGCUCUUGUGCGUUUUCGCAAAAAAGAAGAAAAUUGUGUAAUAAUAAGCACAGAUAAAGAUGGUACUUACAAGAUUCUAAAAGAGAGUUUAAACGGACCAGUUGCAGUAACUGUUCAACAAAACAAAAUAAAAAGUGUGAUGUGCGCACAAUUUUGGCAUCAUCUUGAGAAGUCUGGAAGCAGCUCUACCACAUAUUUUGCAAAAGCUGCUUCAGUUAUCCAGCAGGAGUUAUGUCCAACGUGGAAAAUCUGUUAAAGUCACUCCUCGGUUUCAUGCUUCUCAGUGUGUAGAUAGUUUAGUGAACAAUCACAAAAAGUACAUGAGCCAAACUGUGAUAUAGGGCUGCAUUGUAGGAUGAAUAUGAAAGACUGAUUUUUGAAAGGAACUCACAACAAACAGAGGGGGAUGAUGUGUCUAAUGACCAUCAGUUAGACAACUUCAUCUUCUUGGACGUAGUUGGGGGAGUCGACAAGAAAGGACGCAUUUAUGGUUUGGGCAUAUGAGGACUGCAAUAUCUAAAAUGUCAGCUGAAAACAUGGAACUCAAGGAGCGGUUGAAGACUAACGAGGAAUUGAUUCGUGCAUCACAGAGGGAGUCACGUUUAGCUCGAGAGCAGUCAC